GAGAUGGCGAUGAUGAGGAACUAGUCAUGCACCACUCUGAACUCGGGAGAGUUAUCUCUCCUGUUCUUGCUGACGACAAACAGACUUGCUACCCAUUAUCAAUCUGAGCCUACUC
Non-coding RNA from Oryza sativa (Asian cultivated rice), 115 nucleotides. The record is from Rfam. Lineage: Eukaryota; Viridiplantae; Streptophyta; Magnoliopsida; Poales; Poaceae.